AAUUUCAAAUAGACAAAUUAUUUUGUAAAUUAAAAACUAGAAAGUCAAGAAAAAAUUGGAACCAAAAAUUUAGCAUUGAAUAUAUAAAAGACGCUACACCAUGGAAACACGAAAAGUUAAUUUUAACAAAGUGCAAUGAAAUAUCUAAACUAAACGGAAUCGUUAUAUAUGGAAUGAAGAAUCCCGUAUGUCAUAUUCGGCCAAUAUACGACAAAAUUUGGAAAAUAUGGUCAGAGUCCAGGAACAAGUACAAUCACAAGAGAUCAACAUCAUACAAUGCAAAUUAAGGAGUUAUGUAGAAUCACAAACGUUAAACAAAACGUGAAGCAUUAUUGACAAUUAUAUAUGGGAUAGGAAUCUAAAGGAAUCUUGGAACUUGGAAAAUACUCACGAUUUUCGCAUGGAAUAUACAUCCAAAUGUCAAAUAUAUGUAAGAAUUCAAGGCAGGGCAGUGGUGUCAAAGAGCGCGCAGAAUACACAAAAACAACAACAAAUUGGAAGAAUAAACAAGCAUUAGUUAAAUUUAUAUUAUAACAACAAGGACAACAUUUUGCAACGAUACCCGUGAAGUUGAUGAAACCAUAUCAUUAUUGAGAACCUCCAGAAAAAAAGGAGGUGUACGUUUUUUGAAAAGGGAAACAUUCACAGUGGUUUGAAAGUAUUGCAUUGGAAAUGUUUCUAAUGCGGUUGACUCUGACAAAAGAAAAUUUAUAUCGAUUCUACGCAAUUUCUAUGAAAUACUAUAUAAGCAAUCCACAAAAUAUUUUAUUCAAAAUUCAACUAGUAAAUAAGGGACAUGCGUCGCGCGAAGCCGAAUUUAUCAUACCCUACACAAUCAUGCAUAUUUAGUAGAGCUAUCUGUUACAAAUAUACGCUUACAUGUAUCACGAAUUUAUGUGCAGUAAAUAUCACCAGAACGUUAGAGCGUUUUAAAUAUGACAUCAAA
This is an RNA transcript of Musca domestica (house fly), 946 nucleotides long. RefSeq lists it as uncharacterized. The transcript is spliced from 4 exons. Lineage: Eukaryota; Metazoa; Arthropoda; Insecta; Diptera; Muscidae. The record is from RefSeq and is a predicted model, not a curated record.